AUGGAGGCGCCGCCGCCGCUGACGGCGGGCGCGGUGACGGAGAUAUGGGAGCUCCCGAACGGGCCGGCGACGUUCCAGCCGGUGCUGCAGGUCGCGGACCUUCGCCCCGUCGUCGCCAAGAACACGACCGCGGCGGCGGCCGCGGCGCAGCACUCGGAGCGGUUCCGCAUGCUGCUCUCCGACGGCGUCCACUCCCAGCAGUCCAUGCUCGGCACCGGCCUCAACGACCUCAUAAAGGACGGAACCCUCCGCGUCGGCUCCAUCGUCCACCUCACGGACAUGACGUGCAACACCAUCCAGAAACGCAGGAUCGUUAUUGUUGUCAAACUUGAAGUUCUCCAAAGUGAGUGCCCCAAAAUUGGGACACCAAAGACUUAUGAGAAAAGCUUACCUGAGGGACAGGAGCCUAACUUACCGGCCAAUGCUGCUCAAACAAACAGUGGAAACUAUUCUGGUGGCCCAGGCAUGCUGGGGUCUGCAGUUGCUCCAAGGGUGGAACAGAUUGGUAACAAUCUGUCAUAUGGUAGACCCAACAACGGUGGCCCAGGCGUGGACUCUUCAAUUUGUCAGUCUGUUCAACCUGGUGCUAACAAUGUGUUGUCUGGUGGAACUUAUGGUACAAUGUCAGCACAGAACACAAUGAAUGCCAAUGUGGUGCAGCCAAACUCUCAUCAAAACCAAAGUUUUGUGGUUCCUGGCACAGGUGGGGGCUUUGGGCCUCCUCGCAAUAUAUAUGGGCGCCCUGCACAGUCUUCAUAUCAGCAGCCACCUCCACCCCAUAGAAAUAGUGGCCCAGUUGCUAAAAAUGAAGCUGCUUCUCGUGUUAUUCCAAUUUCUGCACUGAACCCAUACCAACGUACAUGGACAAUAAAGGCUAGGGUGACUGCGAAGGCUCAUGUCAAGAACUUCAAUAAUGCAAGAGGUCCAGGAAAAGUCUUCUCCUUUGAUCUCCUUGAUGCAAAUGGUGGAGAAAUUCGUGCAACAUGCUUUGGCGCGGCAGUUGAUCAGUUCUAUGACUUAAUUGAGGUUGAUAAGGUGUACUUGGUAUCUAGGGGAUCGCUAAAACCCGCAAACAAGAGGUUUAGCCCUUUAAACAAUGACUAUGAAAUAAACCUUGAGCCUUCAUCAUCUAUAGAAGUUUGUUCUGGUGAUGAUAGCAGCAUCCCUAAGCAGCAGUUCAAUUUUCGGCAGAUCAGCGAAAUUGCAAACAUGGAUAAAGAUACCACAGUAGACUUGCUUGGGGUUGUUACUUCAGUUAGGCCUUCUUUUACAGUAAUGCUUAAGAAUGGCGGGGAAACCCAGAAAAGAGUCCUUCAACUGAAGGACAUGUCUGGUUGCAGUGUGGAAAUGACCUUUUGGGGUAACUUCUGUGAUGCUGAAGGUCAGCAGCUGCAGUCGCUGUGCGAUUCUGGUUUGAAUCCUAUACUUGCGCUGAAAUCUGGUCGAGUUGGUGAAUUCAACGGCAAAACAGUGGGUACAACUAGCUCAAGUUUGUUAAAAAUAAAUCCGGAUUUCCCUGAAGCUGAAAGGCUGAGGCAGUGGUACAUAACUGAAGGAAAAAUUGCUGCCUGCACUUCUUUAUCUGGGGAAAUGUCAAGCAUGGGCAGGACUGAUAUCCGGAAAAAAACUGCACAGAUCAAGGAUGAACGCAUGGGGCAAUCAGAAAAGCCUGAUUGGAUCACCGUUCAAGGUGCAAUUUCACAAAUCUACACUGAUAAUUUUUGUUACCCAGCAUGCACCAGGGAGGUUAAUGGUAAAAGCUGCAACAAAAAGGUAACAAAUAAUGGUGAUGGGAUGUGGCUAUGUGAGAAAUGCGAUCAGAGCUCUGAAACUUGUGAGUAUAGAUACCUGCUGUCAUGCCAUAUCCAGGAUCAUACUGGGUCCACCCAUGCAACUUCAUUCCAAGAGGCUGGCCAGGAGAUUAUCGGCCUCUCAGCACAAGAUCUUUUCAGGAUAAAGCAUGAAGAGCAAGAUGAUGUACGGUUUGCAGAAAUCAUACAGCAGGUCCGAUUUCAGCAAUACCUAUUCAAGCUGAAAGUCAAGGAAGAAGUCUAUAAUGAUGAGCCGCGUGUGAAGUGCAACAUUGUUAAGGCUGAAAGAUACGACCCAGUGAAAGAGAGUCGUUUUUUUCUGGGGGCCAUUGAUAGCCUUUUGGCGGAGGACGCUUCAGGCUCUUCUCCUGGGCUGAAUGGUGGUCCUGCUGUUAAUGCUGGCUUCGCCAACUCAGAAGCUGGACAGAGUGUGCCAGCUUCCAACAAUUCCUAUGCUGUGAAUAUGGGUGGCCCAAAUCAGUUUGGGCAGCAAUUCAGCGCAUCUCGCGGGAUGCCGACUGCACCAUCAGCGACACCAGCAGCAGGUAGCGGCUUCGCGGUUAAUUCCUAUGGUCCUUCAGCUGCCAAUGCCAGCUCAGGCUUGUGCUUCAAAUGUAACCAGCCUGGGCACUUUUCAAGAGACUGUCCAGGGCAGGCUGCCUCCUACAGUUCUUCGGUUGGCGGCAACGCCAACUCUGGUCUGUGCUUCAAAUGUAAUCAGCCUGGGCACUUCGCGAGAGACUGUCCGGCACAGGCUGCUGGCCACCAGCACCAGACGUAUGCGAAUGGCGCCGCAUCAGGAGGAUACAACAGGCAAUCCUAUGUUGGUAGUUAA
Molecule: ribosomal RNA, 2646 nt
Filed under: Triticum aestivum (bread wheat)
Lineage: Eukaryota; Viridiplantae; Streptophyta; Magnoliopsida; Poales; Poaceae
Description: partial small subunit ribosomal RNA
Source: RNAcentral